Molecule: ribosomal RNA, 515 nt
Filed under: uncultured bacterium
Lineage: Bacteria
Description: partial 16S ribosomal RNA
Rfam family: Bacterial small subunit ribosomal RNA
Source: RNAcentral
GAUGAACGCUGGCGGCGUGCCUAAUACAUGCAAGUCGAGCGAAUGGAUUAAGAGCUUGCUCUUAUGAAGUUAGCGGCGGACGGGUGAGUAACACGUGGGUAACCUGCCCAUAAGACUGGGAUAACUCCGGGAAACCGGGGCGAAUACCGGAUAACAUUUUGAACAGCAUGGUUCGAAAUUGAAAGGCGGCUUCGGCUGUCACUUAUGGAUGGACCCGCGUCGCAUUAGCUAGUUGGCGAGGUAACGGCUCACCAAGGCAACGAUGCGUAGCCGACCUGAGAGGGUGAUCGGCCACACUGGGACUGAGACACGGCCCAGACUCCUACGGGAGGCAGCAGUAGGGAAUCUUCCGCAAUGGACGAAAGUCUGACGGAGCAACGCCGCGUGAGUGAUGAAGGCUUUCGGGUCGUAAAACUCUGUUGUUAGGGAAGAACAAGUGCUAGUUGAAUAAGCUGGCACCUUGACGGUACCUAACCAGAAAGCCACGGCUAACUACGUGCCAGCAGCCGCCGUAA